Molecule: long non-coding RNA, 864 nt
Organism: Syngnathoides biaculeatus (alligator pipefish)
Lineage: Eukaryota; Metazoa; Chordata; Actinopteri; Syngnathiformes; Syngnathidae
Exons: 2
Source: RefSeq, a predicted model, not a curated record
CUAAUUGACUAGGUACUUAGGUGGUAAAUGUGACAUCAGCAUUUGCCAGUUUGUUGUGUUGUGUUACUGUGUGUGGACACUGCUUUAUAGUGCGUGGGUACGCAAGCGUUUUGUAGUGCUUCCCAUAGUUACAGCAUGUCUGAGCCAUCAAAGCCUCAUCUUAUUUUUCUCAAGUUUUGUUUCAUAGUGAUCAGUCCUCGUUUCAUGCUUUUGGACCUCGCCUCUAGUCUAUCGUUUGUGUGCCUUCUCAGACUGCUACACUGUGUAUGACGUUGACUUGGAAUUAAACCACUCUUAAUAUCAUGUCCUUGUUUUGGAGUCCCGCAUUUGGGUCCAACCCCCGUGCCGCUGGUGCUUGACAGAAUGAACUGGCCAGAACAGGACCCAUCAGGGAAGACGCGGCGUCGCCAACCAUGCAGUCGGGCACACCACUUGCCUGCCUCCCAGCGCUCCCAGCCAGAGGAGCAAGCCUCUCCUAUACAGAUAAUGAGGAAGAUCUGAAUUUAUACGACCGGCUGCCUGAUUCCGACUCGGACAAUGACUUUGAAUUGUACCACAUUGUUACAUUAACAAAGUCUUCAUGUAUCUUAUUCUGUUGUUCUGUUGGGAAAUGUUCUGCUUGCUGUAGCAGUGUCUUUUCCAUUCCAAUUGUAGCUUGUUUGUUGCUUUUUAUCUUUCAGAAUGUUCUCCACAUGGAGAUAUUCCUCCUAUGUGUCAGUAAUCAGACCAAUGUAAUGUUUGUUAACCCAGCUGUAAUUUGUGUCUUUUAAACCUGCAUGGAGAGCAUGUCAACUGCUUUUGAAAUGGCCUAUUCUCCAUCUUCCUGCAGGCCACUCUAUAUCUUGAAUACAGUUAUCAUUCUCA